This 123-nucleotide ribosomal RNA is filed under the name Bifidobacterium breve. RNAcentral describes it as "partial 16S ribosomal RNA 3'end". It matches the Rfam family "Bacterial small subunit ribosomal RNA", at positions 1351 to 1470 of the family's 1533-position model. The record is from RNAcentral. Lineage: Bacteria; Bacillati; Actinomycetota; Actinomycetes; Bifidobacteriales; Bifidobacteriaceae.
AGCAACGUCGCGGUGAAUGCGUUCCCGGGCCUUGUACACACCGCNNNUCAAGUCAUGAAAGUGGGCAGCACCCGAAGCCGGUGGCCNNACCCNCACGGGAGGGAGCCGUCUAAGGUGGAGGCG